This is a long non-coding RNA of Oncorhynchus tshawytscha (Chinook salmon), 911 nucleotides long. Lineage: Eukaryota; Metazoa; Chordata; Actinopteri; Salmoniformes; Salmonidae. The record is from Ensembl.
GUAAACACGACAGAGACACAGUAGAGACCAGUGGAUUAUUAUCAGGGAGUGACUCAACAUAAAUAAACCUGGACAAACCAGUUGGUCUGGUCGGUACACUUCUUUACCUGCUGCUAGGAGAGAGGAGGAACGUAGAACUACUGAAACCUGACAACAGACAGAGGCCAGGUGAGGGUAUAGGGGAGGACAGAGAGGCCAGAGAGAGGCCAGGUGAGGGUAUAGGGGAGGACAGAGGAGUAAAUACAGGUCACCUUUGUAGUCCACCUGCCUCUCUCUCCCUGCCACUCCCCAGGAGUCAGGAAUGUUGUUUUCAUUCCAGCCAGGUAGAAAAGACAGGUGGAACAUAAUCUCUUCAGACCUGCUUAUUGUUUUGAAAGUUCAAAGUCUCCUACAAAAUAAAUAUAAUAUAAUCAUUUACGCCAUUUAGCAGACACUUUUAUCCAAGGUAAAUUACAGUAAUGCGUGCAUCCAUUUUAUUUAUUUUUUACAUAUGGGUGGUCCCUGGAAUCAAACCCACUAUCCUGGUAUUACAAGCACCAUGCUCUCCCACCUGAUCUCCAGAGGACCACGUAAAUCCAUACAUGUUGGAAUAAUGCAUCUUAACCAGCCAAGAAAACAUACAAGUACCUGAAACGUCACGGUCUCUCUGCACCUACUCAUUGGUUCUACCACUGCAGUGUUGGCAGACGAACAAACACACACCGCUGAGUUAAUCUCCUGGCCCCAAGUCCUACCCACUGUGGACUGGACCAAGGAGGGCUAGUAGUUAGCCUGUAAAUACUGGGAGGAAUGCAGGGUUCUCUGAAGCUGACAGGCUGCUCCAGCUUCAGGUCAGGGUUCAUCUCAGUACCCCAGGUCAGAGACCUACCAAUCCCCCCCACCACUAGAUACCUACCAAUCCCCCCCCACCA